GGAAAACACAAUGUGGAAUAGGGAAGGAACGACUAAGAGCACAUCCAUAGGAAAACACAAUGUGGAAUAGGGAAGGAACGACUAACAGCACAUCCAUAGGAAAACACAAUGUGGAAUAGGGAAGGAACGACUAACAGCACAUCCAUAGGAAAACACAAUGUGGAAUAGGGAAGGAACGACUAACAGCACAUCCAUAGGAAAACACAAUGUGGAAUAGGGAAGGAACGACUAACAGCACAUCCAUAGGAAAACACAAUGUGGAAUAGGGAAGGAACGACUAACAGCACAUCCAUAGGAAUACACAAUGUGGAAUAGGGAAGGAACGACUUGUGGUCAGGCUUGUGCCGGAUAGGAAGAUGAGGACCCCAAAUAUACAUCUGAAGAGUAAGAGAGGAGAGUAAACUGAUACAAUGAAAAGAGAGGGAUGAGAGAGGAGAGGUCAUAAUGAGGGAAAUUAUAGUGUGUCUGUGUUGGUGGUGUUUGUGUUGGAGGUGUCUGUGUUGGAGGUGCCUGUGUUGGAGGUGUGUGUCUGUGUUAGAGGUGUCUGUGUUGGAGGUGUCUGUGUUGGAGGUGUCUGUGUUGGAGGUGUGUGUCUGUGUUGGAGGUGUGUGUCUGUGUUGGAGGUAUCAGUGUUGGAGGUGUCUGUGUUGGAGGUGUCUGUGUUGGAGGUGUCUGUGUUGGAGGUGUCUGUGUGAUGUGUGUCUGUGUUGGAGGUGUCUGUGUGGGGUGUGUCUGUGUUGGAGGUAUCUGUGUUGGAGGUGUCUGUGUUGGAGGUGUCUGUGUGGGGUGUGUCUGUGUUGGAGGUAUCUGUGUUGGAGGUGUGUGUCUGUGUUGGAGGUAUCUGUGUUGGAGGUGUCUGUGUGAUGUGUGUCUGUGUUGGAGGUAUCUGUGUUGGAGGUGUCUGUGUUGGAGGUAUCUGUGUUGGAGGUGUCUGUGUUGGAGGUAUCUGUGUUGGGUGUGUCUGUGUUGGAGGUAUUUGUGUUGGAGGUAUCUGUGUUGGAGGUAUCUGUGUUGGAGGUGUGUGUCUGUGUUGGAGGUAUCUGUGUUGGAGGUGUCUGUGUGGGGUGUGUCUGUGUUGGAGGUGUCUGUGUUGGAGGUAUCUGUGUUGGAGGUGUCUGUGUUGGAGGUGUCUGUGUUGGAGGUAUCUGUGUUGGGUGUGUCUGUGUUGGAGGUAUUUGUGUUGGAGGUAUCUGUGUUGGAGGUAUCUGUGUUGGAGGUGUGUGUCUGUGUUGGAGGUAUCUGUGUUGGAGGUGUCUGUGUUGGAAGUGUCUGUGUUGGAGGUGUCUGUGUGGGGUGUGUCUGUGUUGGAGGUAUCUGUGUUGGAGGUGUCUGUGUUGGAGGUAUCUGUGUUGGAGGUGUCUGUGUUGGAGGUAUCUGUGUUGGAGGUAUCUGUGUUGGAGGUGUCUGUGUUGGAGGUAUCUGUGUUGGAGGUGUGUGUCUGUGUUGGAGGUAUCUGUGUUGGAGGUGUCUGUGUUGGAGGUGUCUGUGUUGGAGGUGUCUGUGUGAUGUGUGUCUGUGUUCGAGGUGUCUGUGUGGGGUGUGUCUGUGUUGGAGGUGUCUGUGUGGGGUGUGUCUGUGUUGGAGGUAUCUGUGUUGGAGGUGUCUGUGUUGGAGGUGUCUGUGUUGGAGGUGUCUGUGUUGGAGGUGUCUGUGUGGGGUGUGUCUGUGUUGGAGGUGUCUGUGUUGGAGGUGUCUGUGUUGGUGGUGUCUGUGUCGGAGGUGUCUGUGUUGGAGGUGUCUGUGUUGGAGGUGUCUGUGUGGGGUGUGUCUGUGUUGGAGGUGUCUGUGUUGGAGGUGUCUGUGUUGGUGGUGUCUGUGUCGGAGGUGUCUGUGUUGGAGGUGUCUGUGUUGGAGGUGUCUGUGUUGGUGGUAUCUGUGUUGGUGGUGUCUGUGUCGGAGGUGUCUGUGUUGGAGGUGUCUGUGUUGGAGGUGUCUGUGUUGGAGGUGUCUGUGUUGGAGCUGUCUGUGUUGGAGGUAUCUGUGUUGGAGCUGUCUGUGUGGGGUGCAGGG
RNAcentral lists this long non-coding RNA (2010 nucleotides) under Salmo salar (Atlantic salmon). RNAcentral describes it as "lncRNA (ENSSSAG00000087261.1)". The record is from RNAcentral. Lineage: Eukaryota; Metazoa; Chordata; Actinopteri; Salmoniformes; Salmonidae.